This 429-nucleotide ribosomal RNA is filed under the name uncultured Desulfobulbus sp. RNAcentral describes it as "bacterial SSU rRNA". It matches the Rfam family "Bacterial small subunit ribosomal RNA", at positions 957 to 1382 of the family's 1533-position model. The record is from RNAcentral. Lineage: Bacteria; Pseudomonadati; Thermodesulfobacteriota; Desulfobulbia; Desulfobulbales; Desulfobulbaceae.
CAACGCGAAGAACCUUACCUGGUCUUGACAUCCCGGAGACCCUUAGGAAACUAGGGGUGCUUCCAUCUGGAAGAAUCUGGAGACAGGUGCUGCAUGGCUGUCGUCAGCUCGUGUCGUGAGAUGUUGGGUUAAGUCCCGCAACGAGCGCAACCCUUGCCUUAGUUGCCAGCAGUUCGGCUGGGCACUCUAAAGGGACUGCCGGUGUUAAACCGGAGGAAGGUGGGGAUGACGUCAAGUCCUCAUGGCCUUUAUGACCAGGGCUACACACGUACUACAAUGGCCGAUACAAAGGGCAGCGACACUGCGAGGUGAAGCCAAUCCCGUAAAAUCGGUCUCAGUCCGGAUUGGAGUCUGCAACUCGACUCCAUGAAGUUGGAAUCGCUAGUAAUCGUGGAUCAGCAUGCCACGGUGAAUACGUUCCCGGGCCUU